GCAGAUGAACGUGACCGGGGUCCAAAAAAAAACAUUCACUAAAUGGGUCAACAAACACCUAAUCAAGUUGAGAAAACAUAUUACUGAUCUCUAUGAAGAUCUAAGAGAUGGACAUAACCUAAUCUCUCUACUGGAAGUGUUGUCUGGCGUCACACUGCCUCGAGAAAAAGGCAGAAUGCGCUUCCACCGUAUGCAGAAUAUACAGAUUGCCCUGGACUUCCUCAGGCAGAGACAGGUAAAUGUGUAAAAUUCUGUUGUGGUUGUAUGAGGGGUGAUCAAAACAUUUUAAGCCUAAACCUUUAAGGAGUAUUCUACCUGUCUGAUUCUUUAAGUACCCAAAGAUUAGCUCUUGUUUACUAAUAUGGGUAGACCUUCACUAAUGCAGCACCAUUGGGACCUGAAGA
Erpetoichthys calabaricus (reedfish) is the source of this 404-nucleotide long non-coding RNA. RefSeq lists it as uncharacterized. The record is from RefSeq and is a predicted model, not a curated record. The transcript has 3 exons. Lineage: Eukaryota; Metazoa; Chordata; Cladistia; Polypteriformes; Polypteridae.